RNAcentral lists this long non-coding RNA (1882 nucleotides) under Daucus carota (carrot). Its description in RNAcentral is "long non-coding RNA (DCAR_LNC006098)". The record is from RNAcentral. Lineage: Eukaryota; Viridiplantae; Streptophyta; Magnoliopsida; Apiales; Apiaceae.
UUACGUGUGAUAAUUUGAUUAUGCCUUUUCAAGUUUGAUAUGACAGUUAGUUAUUCUUAGAACGUAAUUAGGGCCCUCUUCUUGAAGUCAGUACUUUUCAAGUUUGAUAUUAGAGGUUAUCGACGAGAGUUAGUUCUUCUAGUGUUGUACAGGUGUUUUAGGGUGCUACAUUGGGUGCUUUGCUUGGGGGGUUGGUUGGUUUUAUAUUGUUAAUUAUAGGCUUCAGAGAAGAUUUCCAGUAGCAACUCCCGGAAUGUAAGACUCAGGCAUUAGUUGUGCCUUUGAAGGUGAAUCUAUUUCGACAAUCAUAUAUGUAAACUUCCAUUCCUUUUAUGUUUGCUCGAUAUGUAUGUAAUAUUUUAAGACACAAAUGUAGAGUUAAUUGAGAUGUACUUGAUUGGAGAAUCUGGAUAUUGACAAGUAGUGUUGAUUUUGAGUUUUACAGCGAGACUAUACUCUAAAGUUGAUGCGCACUAGCUGAUAAUAAUGUUUGGAAAUAAAUGAGUACUCCUUUAUACUGGAGUUGAAGCCCAUGUUAUAAGAAAAUAAAUAAAUGGAUUGAUAUAAUCAACCCGGAACAUUUACAAAGCUUUAUAAUAUUGUAAGACAAGAUAACUCUUUAUAGUAACAGGGUUUAAAAGGCAUAACUCACCUUCGCGUUGUGUCUCUGUCUUCAUCUCGGCUAGAGCUUCGUAGCUUCGCCCUCUGUCUCUGUCUCCAUCUCGGCAAGGGCUUCGUAGCUUCACAUACAAUACAAGGAGGUAAUCACUUAUUGGUUCAGAUACACUUGUCAGAUGCUCGAAUAAUUACCUGUGAUAAUUUGAUAAUUACCUAUGAUAAUAUGUUCAGUAUCUUAAUUAGAUAGUGGCAUAAAAAAAUCUAUGCUUUUAGGAACAAGAGAGGUGUAUAUACGGCGGGAAUAUACACAAAAUACUGAACAGAAGACCCAAGACACAAAAUACAGGGACAAGAGGAGAGUCUUCUGGCCACUAUCAAAUUUCAUGUUGUGUUGUUCUUUAGGUAUAUAUGAUUUUAUGUCUGACAUGGAGGUCCAAAGCUAACAUAAUAUUCGCAAAUGAGCAGACUUUCAUUGUGCUAUGACUGGAGAAUUUGGCAAUAGUUAUGUAUUCUGGGAGCUCUGCAAAGGUGCUUAGAAUAACAAUUAGUUGUUGGGUCGCUACUGCUACAAGGCAGCAUUGUUGGUCAUGUUAAUAUGCUGCUUUAUUCUUCUUGCUAGACGCAAGUUAAGAGUGGCUAUUCUGGGAGCUCUGCAAAGGUGCUUGGAAUAACAAUUAGUUGUUGGGUCGCUACUGCUACAAGGCAGCAUUGUUGGUUAUGUUAAUCUGCUGCUUUAUUCUUCUUGCUAGACGCCUGCUACCUAUCCAGGUUCAUAAUCCCGGUCCCCUGGAAUUGAUUAUUUAUCUGGAUUCAUAUCUUAGAGUUGACUAUUUAUUGUUAUUUCAUUCUUGCUGCCAAUCACAAGCUUGAGAGUCACUCUUACCUAUCUGAAUUCCCAAAGUAAUGUGCUAGAAGCUACAAGGCACAAAAAGAUAUGAUUUUCUAGAACUAGCAGAUUACAGUUGAUGGUAAAACUAAAAUGAUUCUAAUAAUUAGUGUUGUGCUGCUUAGUAUAAGUUUCAAUUUAUCUAGCUAGAGUCCAACACAAUCAAGGAGUUGUACUUGGUAAUAAAUGCAUUUUAGUUGUUUGUUUAAAAAUAGACAUUUACGACUGUAUGUUCAAUUUAGACAUUCUGUGUGUGGAGAAACUAUGUUAGAUGUGUCACAUAUUUGCAUUUAUAAUUUUUUGAUCUUCUGCUAUAUGCUUAUUAGGUUAAUGGAACACGAUGAGGAGCGUUGGAAAAAAUUCAAAGAAAACCAGUGG